This 68-nucleotide transfer RNA is filed under the name Cucujoidea sp. 26 KM-2017. RNAcentral describes it as "tRNA-Met". The record is from RNAcentral. Lineage: Eukaryota; Metazoa; Arthropoda; Insecta; Coleoptera.
AAAAAGAUAAGCUAAAGAAGCUUUUAGGUUCAUACCCUGACUAUAAAGGAAUAAUCCUUUUCUUUUUA